This 433-nucleotide ribosomal RNA is filed under the name uncultured bacterium. Its description in RNAcentral is "partial 16S ribosomal RNA". It matches the Rfam family "Bacterial small subunit ribosomal RNA", at positions 29 to 507 of the family's 1533-position model. The record is from RNAcentral.
AACGAACGCUGGCGGCAUGCCUAACACAUGCAAGUCGAACGAGACCUUCGGGUCUAGUGGCGCACGGGUGCGUAACGCGUGGGAACCUGCCCUUAGGUUCGGAAUAACUCCCCGAAAGGGGUGCUAAUACCGGAUAAUGUCCUCGGACCAAAGAUUUAUCGCCUUUGGAUGGGCCCGCGUUGGAUUAGCUAGUUGGUAGGGUAAAAGCCUACCAAGGCGACGAUCCAUAGCUGGUCUGAGAGGAUGAUCAGCCACACUGGGACUGAGACACGGCCCAGAAUCCUACGGGAGGCAGCAGUGGGGAAUAUUGGACAACGGGGGAAAGUCUGAUCCAGCAAUGCCGCGUGAGUGAUGAAGGCCUUAGAGUUGUAAAGCUCUUUAACCCGGGAUGAUGAUGACAGUACCGGAAGAAUAAGCUCCGGCUAACUCCGUG